UGGCACUGAAGUUGUCACAGUACAGUAGGACAGGACCAUCAAUAGAAGAUGUAACUCCCAGUUUGGUGAUGAAUUUUCACAACUACAUCAUCUCCUUUGCAGCAUCCGAUGCAGCAUUGUAUUCCACUUCCACACAGAAUUGGCCACAGUAUAUUGCAUGAAACUCUUCCAGCAAAUAGCUCCACCAUUCCAAGUAAAUACAUAGCCUGACAUGC
Molecule: long non-coding RNA, 215 nt
Filed under: Elaeis guineensis (African oil palm)
Lineage: Eukaryota; Viridiplantae; Streptophyta; Magnoliopsida; Arecales; Arecaceae
Description: long non-coding RNA (EGUI_LNC044690)
Source: RNAcentral